RNAcentral lists this long non-coding RNA (1313 nucleotides) under Marmota monax (woodchuck). Lineage: Eukaryota; Metazoa; Chordata; Mammalia; Rodentia; Sciuridae. The record is from RNAcentral.
UGAACACACACUUUAUUUCUCUCCAUUCCAUGAUUUUGCUAGCCUGAAUUUCCAGGAGCUUCAUGACUACAUUAAAUUAAAAGUGAACGCCUAACUGGUUAUGGUGGCAUAAGCCUAUAACUCUAGCUACUUAGGAAGCAGAGACAGGAGGAUCUCACUUUGGAGGCCAGCCUCAGCAAUUUAGCAAGGCCCUAGCUCAGUGGUAAAGCGCCCCUGGGUUCAACCCGAAAUAUCAGGGGAAAAAAACAAGAUGUCGAGAUAAAUUUUAAUUUCAGCUUAACUUUUAAGAAAACUGUCCAGACAUAUGCUUAAAAAACGUACUCAUCUGAAAUUUAACUGGGCCUCCUGUGUUUUAUUUGGCAACUUCUAGGGACUUCUUCUUUUAAAUAACUUGUUAACGUACUUAAAAAUUUCUAAACGAGAAGUUAAAAAAAAAGUUUGUUUGUUUUUUUUAACAACAGAUGAGGCUCCAUAGCAGUCAGCCUUCUGCCAAAUUUGGCCUAAAAAAGUGGGAAAGAGAAAACAAAAACCACAAGUCUCAGGAGCCUGCGCAUUAAAAGGAGCUGUGCAGCAGCUUUCCCGCCAGUUUUCCGCGGAAUGUAGCACAGCGGCCACGCAGCGGGGGUGGAGCGCUUACGGCUGUGUCCUUGCCAGAUAGGAAAGGAGGUGCCGGAAACUUUAAACGCCGGCCAGAGUACAACGUGUCCACUUAGGCGGCGGUAGGCGCCGCCAUCUUCUUCGCCGGCCGAGACGGGGAACACACGGGCUCCACUUUGCCGGCUAGAGCAGAUUGGGGGGCCUUGCCGCGGCCUCAGCACUCUGGUGACGUGGAAUCGGAGUCCCCCUUUUCGGAGCUGAUUUCUGGUAGCACGUUGAAAUCCGCCAAGGCGGGGAACGAGGACGCCGCCUCGGUCCCGGAUGUAAGAUGGCGGCGCAGGGGGCGGACUGGCUGGGCGGUCACGUGGUGGGGAGUAGCGCGCCAGCCUCCUUAAGUGAUCUUUAUGGUUCGUCCGGACGCACUGGAGCAGCGGAGCGCGAGACGGGUCGUGUGUCCGCGCGUGCCGAGCCGUCGUCACCCAGCCCGCCGCGCAGCCCGGUUUCAGUUUGACAGGGUUUCUGUGUUCUGUUUUCGCCUCUUGCAGAGCUGAGCGGGAUUUCCCCGAAGGAUGCUGGGGAACGGGUGGCUUGGGGACUUCCGGGCUAUCCCUCAGCUUCGUCGGGGCGCUGGAGCCCGCGGCCGUCUCGGCCGGACGCGUCCGCGCGGAGAGCGGGCAAACAGUGGCAUGGCAGGGGUGAGGCGGGAGGGUGCGGGC